This is an RNA transcript of Hippocampus comes (tiger tail seahorse), 1941 nucleotides long. RefSeq lists it as uncharacterized. The transcript has 6 exons. The record is from RefSeq and is a predicted model, not a curated record. NCBI's taxonomy places the organism in Eukaryota, Metazoa, Chordata, Actinopteri, Syngnathiformes, Syngnathidae.
GUAGUUUGUCCAAGUGGUGUUGCCGUAUUAUUUCCGCUGCAGCGCUACUUCCGUGUACAUUUUGGUCAGCGUCUCACUAAUAAUUCUUCUCAAAUUGGUAUUGUGUGUACAGGAGCCUCCUCUCAGAGCGGGUUGUCACCAAUUUACUGGACUAAAACGUAAUUGAUAACAUUUUAGCGUCCGGAAAAAUUCGUAUUCGUGUACGUUAAAGCUUCGCAAGAUAGCUUCGCUUAGCUUAGCUAGCUAGCUGCGAACAAGGCGACGCGUUUUGCUGCAAGCGGAGAUCAAGUUUUGUACUUGCCGUGUGGCAAUGUGUGCAAUCAGUGUGAAAGAGGAGUACGAAGAGGAGCUAUGUCGUCUAAAAGAGAACGAUGGACAACGUCUGUUGUCAGACGCUGUAGUCAAGACUCCUCGAGUUGUGUCGCACAGAGCAGACCACACUAAAAAGCACCAGGAACCUCAGUGCCCUUCCAUUAAAAAAGAAGUAGAGGAAGAGUCCCCCCACAUUAAAGAGGAAGAAGAGCCUGGUCACCAAUGUGCUGGAUCACAUCAAGAUAGUCUCUUAGCUCCACGAUCAGAUUGUGACAUAUCGUCACACCCUUCUGACAGUGACACUGAUGAUGAACGCUCGAAAGGUUUCAUUAAUUACACUGGAACCACAUCCAGCGCUGGCAUUGGAUGUGGAAAGAAAGUAAGAAUGUGUUUUUCAAGACAGAACUGCCACAGAAAAUGCAACUGCAAUCCCCGAAGUCGAUGAUGAAGACAACGAUGGAAUUGAUUCCUCCACCUCCACGAAAGAAGAACUAUCCGUGUGCGAAAUUAACACAGAGGAGCAGAGUUCUCUCUCCCUGGAAAUGUUAGAUGAAGACCAACAUCCGCCUGCAGAUUCAUUUUCUUACACCGAAGAGGCUUUCGUGUGUCAAAUGCACAAGAAACGGUCAGGAGAGAGUUUCCACAGCAGAGAGCUGCCACAACAUCAGAGGGAUCUGAUCGUUGAAAGGUAUCAGUCGGGAGAAGGGUACAAAAAAAUUUCCAAGGCAUUAAGUAUACCAUGGAGCACAGUGAAAAGCGUCAUCGUCAAGUGGAGGAAAAAUGGCACCACAGUCCCGUUACCAAGAACCGGACGGCCCUCCAAAAUUGACGAAAAGACGAGAAGAGAACUGGUCAGGGAGGCUGUCAGGAGGCCGACGGCAACACUGAAGGAGCUGCAAGAAUUCCUGGCAAGUACUGGCUGUUCGGUACAUGUGACAACAAUCUCCCGACUCCUUCAUAUGUCCGGACUUUGGGGUAGGGUGGCAAGAUAAGGGGUGAAGACUUUUACUAAGUAUUAUGACCGAGGUCGUAAGUUCUCAUGUUUUUGCGGCAAUGUUUGCUUGAAGGUCCAUGCAGGUGUGUUUAUUUUGUUUGAUUGGGGUUGAUGGGCAUCGGCUCUCCUGAUUGUUGGCGUGGGAGGACCAUCUCUUUAAGAGCAGAAUUGCAAUGACAAAAAGAGAACAGUAACCCUCGUCUACCCUCUUCCAACUGGCCGCACGAUGAAAAUUGUUUGUAAACCGAACCCUGGCACAAUCAAGAAGAGGUGAACCGGCACUUGUUGUAGAGCACUUUUCCACCAAUUAUGAAAUUCAAAGCGCUUCACCUACUGAUGGCGCAGCAUCAGGAGCCACUGUGGGGGGAUGUUCAACAUCUUGCUCAAGGACACUUUGACAUAGUCACAAGGGCCGGGGAUCGAACCCACAACCUCUAGGUUGGGCGUGGCCCACUCUCCCCUGAUCCAUGCCACUCCCGUUGUGUUGCUUCCUUGGUUGCAUUUGACGACUCUCCAAGUGAGAAAUGUCUUUUUGUGUUUUUUCUCCUUGGUGCACCCUGAAUGAAAUCUUUUUUUUGCAAAAUAAUAUAUCCAUGGUAAAACCAGUAAUAUUGUGAAUAAAUAUUUUUAUUUUA